This 924-nucleotide ribosomal RNA is filed under the name bacterium enrichment culture clone L55B-94. RNAcentral describes it as "bacterial SSU rRNA". It matches the Rfam family "Bacterial small subunit ribosomal RNA", at positions 8 to 916 of the family's 1533-position model. The record is from RNAcentral.
AGAGUUUGAUCAUGGCUCAGGGCUAACGCUGGCGGCGUGUCUUAGCCAUGCAAGUCGAGCGGACUUAUGGGGUAACUUAUAAGUCAGCGGCGGACGGCGGAGUAACACGUAGCUAACCUACCCUCUGGACGGGGAUAACCUACCGAAAGGUGGGCUAAUACCCGAUGUAGUCAUCCUGUAUAGGGGUGAUGAAAGGUGGGCUUCUGUUUACAAGCUCAUGCUGGAGGAGGGGGCUGCGGCCUAUCAGGUAGUUGGUAGGGUAAUAGCCUACCAAGCCGAUGACGGGUAGCCGGCCUGAGAGGGUGACCGGCCCGAGGGGCACUGAGAUACGGGUCCCACUCCUACGGGAGGCAGCAGGCUAGAAAUUUGGGCAAUGGGGGAAACCCUGACCCAGUGACGCCGCGUGCAGGAAGGAGCCCUUCGGGGUGUAAACUGCUGUCGUGUAGGGAGAAGGGUACUAAGGUGAACAAUCUUAGUACUUGACGGUACUACAGGAGGAAGCCCAGGCUAACCUCGUGCCAGCAGCCGCGGUAAUACGGGGUGGGCGAGCGUUGCCCGGAAUUACUGGGUUUAAAGGGGGUGUAGGCGGUCUGGAUAGUCGGGUGUGUAAUGCAAUCGCUCAACGAUUGAGCUGCAUCUGAUACUUCCAGGCUAGAGGGCGGUAGAGGAGAGCGGAACUCCCGGUGUAGCGGUGGAAUGCGUAGAUAUCGGGAGGAACGCCGGUGGCGAAGGCGGCUCUCUGGGCCGUUCCUGACGCUGAGGCCCGAAAGCUGGGGGAGCGAAAGGGAUUAGAUACCCCUGUAGUCCCAGCCGUAAACGAUGGGCACUAGGUGUACCUUUUAACGGAGGUAUACCGUCGGGAAACCAAUAAGUGCCCCACCUGGGGAGUACGCCCGCAAGGGUGAAACUUAAAUGAAUUGACGG